CAACUUUCAGCAACGGAUCUCUUGGCUCUCGCAUCGAUGAAGAACGCAGCGAAAUGCGAUAAGUAAUGUGAAUUGCAGAAUUCAGUGAAUCAUCGAAUCUUUGAACGCACCUUGCGCCCUUUGGUAUUCCGAAGGGCAUGCCUGUUUGAGUGUCAUUAAA
This 160-nucleotide ribosomal RNA is filed under the name Mycetinis salalis. RNAcentral describes it as "5.8S ribosomal RNA". It matches the Rfam family "5.8S ribosomal RNA". Rfam says of the family: 5.8S ribosomal RNA (5.8S rRNA) is a component of the large subunit of the eukaryotic ribosome. It is transcribed by RNA polymerase I as part of the 45S precursor that also contains 18S and 28S rRNA. Functionally, it is thought that 5.8S rRNA may be involved in ribosome translocation. Lineage: Eukaryota; Fungi; Basidiomycota; Agaricomycetes; Agaricales; Omphalotaceae. The record is from RNAcentral. RNAcentral also lists the same sequence under 1 other name.